AUGCCGCACGAAUGCACAUGCGUCAAAUCAUCAAACGCGCAGCACGCGAGGAAAGAAAAAUGCAGAGUUAUUC
This is a non-coding RNA of Plasmodium vivax (malaria parasite P. vivax), 73 nucleotides long. NCBI's taxonomy places the organism in Eukaryota, Apicomplexa, Aconoidasida, Haemosporida, Plasmodiidae. The record is from the annotation of a RefSeq genome assembly.